This 460-nucleotide ribosomal RNA is filed under the name uncultured bacterium. Its description in RNAcentral is "partial 16S ribosomal RNA". It matches the Rfam family "Bacterial small subunit ribosomal RNA", at positions 338 to 795 of the family's 1533-position model. The record is from RNAcentral.
CCUACGGGAGGCAGCAGUGAGGAAUAUUGGUCAAUGGACGCAAGCCUGAACCAGCCAAGUCGCGUGAAGGAAGACGGCCCUAUGAGUUGUAAACUGCUUUUGUACGAGGGUAAACGCAGAUACGCGUACCUGUCUGAAAGUACCGUACGAAUAAGGAUCGGCUAACUCCGUGCCAGCAGCCGAGGUAAUACGGAGGAUUCAAGCGUUAUCCGGAUUUAUUGGGUUUAAAGGGUGCGUAGGCGGGCGGAGAAGUUAGGGGUGAAAUCCCGAGGCUCAACUUCGGAAUUGCCUUUGAUACUGUUCGGCUAGAGUGUAGUUGCGGUAGGCGGAAUGUGUGGUGUAGCGGUGAAAUGCUUAGAGAUCACGCAGAACACCGAUUGCGAAGGCAGCUUACCAAGCUCCUUCUGACGUUGAGGCACGAAAGCGUGGGGAUCAAACAGGAUUAGAUACCCGAGUAGUC